AGGUGUGUUCACCUCUUCCUGAUGACGACCAUGAACAAGAAGAAAAGGUGGGAACAAGACAGCAGCAUUUAAAAAGUGAGGUUUUGACUUCCUGCGGUGACAUCAUCCUGUGUCUCUACAGUCAGACUCAGAUGGAUACCAAACUUUAAAGUGAUUAAUUCAGAGAUACAGAGAAAGUAAUCUCAUCCACCUGCAUGAAAUGACCCCCCUAAACACAAGGGGAUUAUGGGUAGAAGGAGAUGGAUGCGGUCUGUCAUGGAUGGAAAGCAGAGCUGUAAAAAAAAAAAAAAAAAUUAAGCUGCACCAGAGUUGACACUGGAGUCCCACGAGACGGAAGCGGCUUCACAUUGUGAUGUACCGGCAGAGACGGAGACUAUAGAUAUGGAGAAUAAGGAGGGUUUCCCUGCUGCACGGACUCCUGACCUGCAAGAUGACGGCAGCUUACCAAACUUCUACUACUGCAACAUUUGUUUACAAGCCUCGGUAGACUUCGAAAUGACUCAAAAAGAACCAAAUAUGAAAAAUGCAACAAACUCGACUGCUCCAGAAUCAAUUUGUACAUCGAUUUAAGCCAUUUACCUCCCACUGAUCCACCCACAGGCCACUACUUACAAAAAUAUGAAUAUGUAAUACAUCUAUUAAUAGAUCAAAUUCUUGUUUUUCAGUCAUUGUGGUCAUUUUCAAAAAGAAAAUAUCCAAGUGUCCAAUACACAGGAAAACUGAAAGCAGUUUGGCUGUCCAACAGUGUAUUACCGUAUUAUCUUGAAUAUAAGUAACCCCUCCUUUUCUGACAUCAGGUUUUGGAGAAUGCUUUUUAAGGAUGCAACACAGACGACCAACACUUUUUCAAACAGGAUUAAAAAAACUGUAUGUAAAAAAAAGAAACGAUCAAAAAUAGUGAUUUCUUUUAACAGCCAUUAGCAUAGCUUAG
Long non-coding RNA from Thunnus maccoyii (southern bluefin tuna), 931 nucleotides. RefSeq lists it as uncharacterized. The record is from RefSeq and is a predicted model, not a curated record. NCBI's taxonomy places the organism in Eukaryota, Metazoa, Chordata, Actinopteri, Scombriformes, Scombridae. The transcript has 3 exons.